ACGAACAAAACUCAUUGCUGUCAUCGAAUGUCAUUCUACAGUGACAGCACUUAUUUCAUUCUACAAUUUGUUUAUCAACCUGAGUUUUUAUUAGAGUUUUGGGAAUUGUUAAGAAUAUUGUAGUGAUUAUUAAGAGUAAUAUCUUCAACAUUAGAUUUUGUCAAUAAUGUCUCGUCCAAAAAACUUUUUAGAUGCGGAUGAAAGUUUACUUGAAAAAAAUCUAAAAUUUGUCAAAAAUGAAGUUGAAGAAGAACUCAAUCAUUACUUUUCUGGCACGCAAGAUAGUGAUAGAUUAAAUGAAUCGCUAGCCCCGCCACGUGAAUAUAAAAUUGUUCAGCCAAAACCAGGCAUUUGCAUUAAAAGUUUUAAAACGAAUACAAAUGAUAAAUUUUUCAUCAAUGUUUGUCAAACUGAAGAGAUACCGCCCCCGGAGGACAUUACCGAAGAGCAAUUGGCUGAUAUUUUGCAAUCGGAAGUACCAAGUUCUUUUCGUAUUCCCAUGAGUAUUUCCGAUCCGCGUGUAACUAAGGAUAAAUCUAAUAAUUCAGUAGAUGUUUGCGAUAUUGCGAUUAAUCCUAAUUUCUUUGUCAAAAUUCAAAAAUCUUUACUAUUUAAAGACUUUUUCCUGGCGCUAAUUGCCGAAGCUCUAAACGAUAAAUAUAACAUACAAAUAAAAGUCGAGAAAUCAAUAAUACUACAAAAUAGAAAGUUUAUAGGCACACUGGUGCGCCAUCGUGUACGUAAUAAAGAUGUGAAAACCGUUUUAAGCUCAUAUAAACAACCAACAGAGGAGGACAAAAGAAAAUUGGAUGAACUUGAAAAAAGCAGUGUUGGGAAGAAUGUGCCAUUGGUACAGGAGAUUGAUAUAAAUGAGGUGAAUGUGCUAAAGCAGAAAUCAGAAGAAUUAAAGCAGAAUUCCUCCCAGAUUAAAGAGGCAAUAUCACUAGCUGGAUCCACGGUGCCGGAGUUUAAGUUACGUGCCAAACUGUCCAAAGAGAAGGUUGAAGAAAUACAGGCGGAAUUCUAUCUGCCAAAAUGUAUAUCUUCAAAUGAAAUUGCAUUGGAUAUCGGAGAAGAUCGCAUUUUGUUGGAAUCUAUGAAGCAUGGUUAUAUGUUUGAUAAGUUUGUGAAUUAUCGUUUGAAUCAAGAACGUGCUCGGGCAAUUUUCGACAAAACCAAUAAAAUGCUUCAAGUCCGUAUCCCUGUAUAUCCAGUUCAUUAAAUUAUAUGGUGGUCAUCUCUAUUUGUUCAAUUAGAGAGUUAAAAUAUUUUUAUUGUAUAAAUUACGGGCACGGAAUUUUCAAUUUGCUAAUUUUUUUUUUAAUUGCAACAAAUAAAUAAUAAACCUAUAAAUAAAUAAAGAAUAUAGUUUAACAGAAACUGUUAUUUGUAUAAAAAUCAUUUCAGAUUCAAAUAACUACUUAUCAGUUGAGUGUAAAAAUCUACAAAAACGAAAUCUGUCGAGUCGCAAAUCUCCAGUCUCUUAUCUGGAAGAGCUGUAUUUAUAUAUAUGACAAGUCUUCGUUAAUAAAAAUAUGGCAUCUCUCAUCCAAUGUCAUUGCGACAAUUUUUCUAUGCUAUACUUUACAGUAUUUUCUUUUAUGCAAUUUAUCACUUGUUCUUUCCAUUCUUAAAUAAACUUUUUUCAAUCAUCUCAAAAGUCUGAAUAAAUUCUUUCAGUCGUUUGAAAUGUUGCUCAAUCGUUUAGUCAAUCAAGGUAGGGUAUUUGUUGCCCCGUCUUUACGUCAUCUCAUUCGCCGGCAACAAGAAAAUGUCAUUCUGCGUUCGUUUUUGACAUUUACCUUACAACCGGCGGCUGUCAAAAGUCAUAAUUUGGUGCCUGAAUUGGAAAAUUCGAUCACAAAAUAUUGCACACGCAAAUAUUCAUCAACAAAAUUAGCUAUGGAGGAACAUUGCGUGGUCCCUGAUGUCAUUUCGUGUGUUCCACAAGAAGUAGUAACUGUUUGUUAUACAAGUGGUGCCUCUGUAGAACAAGGGAAUGUUUUAACACCAACUUUAGUAAAAGAUCAACCCACCAUCGCGUGGAAGGCCGAUCCAGGUGCAUUAUAUACCCUGUGCUUGACAGAUCCUGAUGCACCUAGUCGUACCGAUCCCAUAUAUCGGGAAUGGCAUCAUUGGUUGGUUGGCAACAUACCUGGAUGUGAUGUUUCCAAAGGCGAGGUCUUAUCGGCUUAUAUUGGUUCGGGUCCACCACCAAAAACUGGUUUACAUCGCUAUGUUUUCUUGGUUUACAAACAGAGCGGCAAGUUGACAUUCGAUGAAAAACGUUUACCAAAUAACAGUGGCGAUGACCGCGGGGGUUUCAAAAUCGCUGCUUUUGCUAAAAAGUAUAAUCUUGGUGAUCCGGUCGCUGGCAACUUCUAUCAAGCUGAGUUUGAUGACUAUGUACCUAUUUUAUAUAAACAACUGGGCGCAUAAACCUGUGCUACAAUAUAUACAUAGGUAUAUAUAAUAAUAUACGUAUUUGGAAACUUCGUAGUGAUUUUGUCAGAAGACAUUAAAUUGAACUAAACAUCUAAUAUAUAUGUAAUUCAUAAAAAUUUAUUUUUGUUGUAUUAAUUUAAAAUAAAUGGUUCUACGUUUGCAAUAUCCCUAA
Molecule: non-coding RNA, 2617 nt
Organism: Bactrocera oleae (olive fruit fly)
Lineage: Eukaryota; Metazoa; Arthropoda; Insecta; Diptera; Tephritidae
Source: RefSeq, a predicted model, not a curated record